RNAcentral lists this ribosomal RNA (253 nucleotides) under uncultured bacterium. Its description in RNAcentral is "partial 16S ribosomal RNA". It matches the Rfam family "Bacterial small subunit ribosomal RNA", at positions 524 to 776 of the family's 1533-position model. The record is from RNAcentral.
GCCGAGCCACACAAACGUUAUUCGGAAUUACUGGGCUUAAAGGGUGCGUAGGCGGCGCGGAAAGUUGGGUGUGAAAUCCCUCGGCUCAACCGAGGAAUGGCGCUCAAAACUACCGUGCUCGAGGGAGAUAGAGAGGUGCGGAACUUACGGUGGAGCGGUGAAAUGCGUUGAUAUCGUAGGGAACACCGGUGGCGAAAGCGGCACUCUGGAUCUCUUCUGACGCUGAUGCACGAAAGCUAGGGUAGCGAACGGG